Danio rerio (zebrafish) is the source of this 3968-nucleotide non-coding RNA. The record is from RefSeq and is a predicted model, not a curated record. Lineage: Eukaryota; Metazoa; Chordata; Actinopteri; Cypriniformes; Danionidae.
UAUGGCCAUACACAAUAAAUGCGCUAUAUAAAUACACAUUACAUUAUAUUACAUGUAUAAAAUGACAUAGGCGGGUAUAGAAAGUUUGGGCGGUUUUGCAACAGAACGUCCGCCCCCCCCUCUACUGUGUUGUCCAGACUAUCACAACCCAUGCUGGAAUCAGUCAGCUACAUCUGGCAACACUGUCAAGCAAAUACACUGCCAUCCAGUGUUACAAUGAUGACUUUUCAGACUCCCCAUCACUGUAUUUUCAAAAAAAUAACCAGGGAAUAUUAAGUGUUACUGGAGAUUUGUAGAGACUCUCAUGUAUCUGUGUUAUUCUUAACGUUACUCUUCACAACAAGGUGCGGGUGAUGCCGUCAAUCUUUUCCCCGCCUCGGAGCACUCAAGAUGGCAUAGUGCCACACAGCCGUCAACAAAAGCAUUGAGAGCAGGUCAAUCUUAAUGUAAAGAUGUUCUAAAUGAAUAGGGCAUAGGGUUGAUAAUGGGGAAUAGAACACAACCAGGAACUAUGCUUAUACAGCUCUAGAGGUGUAGUUGCAGACGUACAGGUUUGUGAAUGUUCAUUGGAACGACGAUUUUGGAAACGGCAAAUCAACGAACUAUGUUUGUAACGACGAAACUUGCGACUUUAGUUAGCUAACAAAUGUUUUUGGAAACCCACCCCUGUUCUUUUAUUUACUUACAAUGGAAAACUAGUAUAUUUGAUACAAUGCUUAUAUUGACAUUUAUAAAUGGGUGGGACAUGUAAAUACAGAUACUGUCAAUAGCAUGUUCUGAGAUGAAACUAAUGAUUUUUGGUGAUAAAAAGGGUUGUGGGAGGAAUUUAAUUAUUAUAAGCUAUUUGCGUCAAUGCUAACACAAAUACAUAUUCAAACAUGUAGCAAAAAUCUAAGUCAUUUUUUCAGUAUAGGUCCCCUUUAAAUAGACUCCUACAAUACACGUACAUUCAUCCAACAUUCAAACAACAGUUUAAUUUUCUUACCUGUGUGUGUGUGUGUGUGUGCGUGCGUGUGUGCGUGCGUGCGUGCGUGCGUGCGUGAGUGCGUGAGUGCGUGCGUGCGUGCGUGCGUGCGUGUGUGUGUGUGCGUGUGCGGGUGCGUGUGUGUGUGCGUGCGCACCCGUGUGUGUGUGUGUGUAUAUUUAUAGACACAGACGCUGGACUCCCUUGAGCAGGAUCAUGUGGUUUUGCUGGACUGAACUCCAGACAUAGGAACAUCUGCUCUACUUCUUCUCAGACUGAGGCCAAAUCUCCAACCUGAGCAGACUGAACGCGGCGGGUCAGCAUGAGUAAUGCACACACGGGAGUUCAUUCUAUCCCAUUUAUGACCAGGACCCUCUCAGAUGUCCCUAUCAAAAAAAGAUGUGCGUUACCUCCAUAAGUGAGCAAGAGGGAAUAGAUGUUGUAUGAUGAGAAUGAGAUCGAUAUCAAAUGCUACAACAACGCAUUUCAACCCUGCUUCAGUGCAACAACUUUAUAUUGUGAGUUCUGCACUAUAAGGUUUCUUUGAAGUCUCCACAUUUUGGAAAGCAGCAGUUCUCACUUGGUUUUGCUUCACAACCCUUGUACGUAUGAUGUCAAGCGCUGACCAGAUGAUCUAGGCCCUACUCAUCAAACUCUGGCGGAAGUGUUCAGUGAGACGGAGCCCAAUUCUGCCAAGGUACAUCAGUAUACUAGACCUGUCAGGAGGCUGCAUGCAGGAGACUUCUUGCAUGACCUGCAGCUCACUCGAUUGUCACAUCCUGUAUUGGCCUUCGGGGUGAAGAGCUGUGAUUGGCCGAGGCGGGUAUUGCCAGGCUGUCACAUGCUCCUGUGUGGGGAGUGUGAAUGGGCCUCGGGCUAGAAGAGGACCUGCAUGAAAACAGGAUGACAAGUGCCAUACCAUCCUGUGAGAUGUGCCAAGACAGAAUGAGCAUCUGUCAAAACACGUCGGUCCCAGCGGACGCUUCGCUGAUGGACGCAGACAUGCAGGAGAGAAAAAGAUAGACGGAAAGAGAGAGAGAGAGAGACGGACAGGAGAACGGCUGAAAAGAGAUGAUUUGGUUGGGUGGGGUCUGGUCUUCACCUGCUGCGCCCACCAGCAUCCUUGAACCUGCUUCACCUCCAUCACUGCGAGGGGUCGACACAAAGAUUAAAAGAUAAAUACGCCACCAUCUGGAAGCAACAGGCAUCCCCUGAUGCUGUGCCCUUGACAAGAUCACGGCAAGAAAAGUCUAUAAUCUAAAGUUGUGCAUGGCUUUUGUGACCCGCUGUUUACACUGCCGCUGAUUGAGCUGAUCGUAGCUGUCCCCGAGGCAGCGAGACUUAUCAUUCACCGCAGAGGACCCAAAAACUGACAGAAGUCUUUGGCUUUUUUUUUUUUUUUAGCCCCCAAGCAAAUUACAGCCAGGUCCGCUAGAUCCUGCUUCAUUAGACGUGCAGCUGUUGAGUAGAAAGGCAGCAGAAUGAGAGAGCGAGCCCAGGAGAGACUAGCAGACAUGUGACAGAUGAAGAGAGAGAGAAAGAGAGGGAGGAAAACUAACAAUGGCCUGUCAUUCUGAGCGGCUGCCAAGCGAUGCCCAUAAUUGAUUGCUCGUCCCAUUUUCAAAAGCUUUCUAGACACGGACACACACAUACACACACGCUGUUUGAACAUAGACUAUAGUAAUAGGGGAUGAAUCUGUGCAAAUCACAGACUCGCACACCGUGAAUUUGGGGAAUGGAAUAUUUAGGUUUAUAAAGGACAGCUCUGACUACAUUCUGAUUGGAUGGACCGUGUUAUGCGGGUAAAUUCACACCUGUGACUGCACAUUCUGUAUCAAAUCACCAAGUUGAGAUGUCGCUCGGCAACUGUAAACAGCUUGUGUAACUCUGAAAGAUGCUUUUGCUGAAGACUAGUUUAUUUUGAUAAUGGGUCGUUCCAAAGAAACCAGGGGUCCGUUUUUUGUACCUCACUUAAACAAUCUAUUGCAGAUCCUGGAUCUUUUAAUCUUGACAACUGAUCUCUGGCUAAUUUUGUUCUUUUAAAAGUAUGCAAAUCAGAUUAAAAUGUCUAGAUGAAUUCAUCUGAGAUUCCCAUGCUUGUUGUGAAGGACAGAUCUAUUUGAUCCUCGAAAUCUGGAUCAGAAAUUUAACGAUUGGCUAAAUGCAAGACAGCAGCAUAAUGACAUCAUCUGAUUAAGGGCGUACUCUCACUAUGUACAGUUGCCUUAAACCGUGCCGAAGCACGCUUGUCUCCCCUCCCUUUUCCCCCAAUGGCCUGCACUCACAGAGCACACUUGCGUCAUCGAUGAUGCGCUAUUCAGUUUAACAGAAGAAAAUCGAUCUCGCUCAGGACAUUGGAGGUUUCUUUAGUUCUAUCAUUUUAGUCGUUUGGGAUGCAGUGACAAGCAGUUAAAUGUUUCGGCGAACUGAUAAGUCACCUUUGACGCUCAUAAAUAAUCACUAAAGUCCUUGUGCUACAGGUAUUAGGAGGUUUGCAGAAGGUGUAGCUGUCAUGCAGUGAGGGGUUUGCGUCUUUAUUAAACUACGAUAGUUUGCGUUCAUUGAACAGUAAGAAUGAUUAAUACAUCUAUAUGAAGGGACUAUAUAAAAGGGAUGUCUCUUUUUCAGUUUCGGGCUUAGCUUUGCACUUGCACCACAAGUGUACCGCGCUAAAGCCUAAGAGAACAAAACAGGCCAUGGUCGGCAAACUGAACUGCGUGUGAGCACAAUUCAGAGCACCCACACUUCUUAAAUGAAAUGGCAAACACGCCCGGGCACGGUUUAGAUAGAAUAGUGUGAGUGCGCCCUAAUAUUCAAUUAUCAUCCAUGUAAGCAAAAUUACAUAAAAUUUGUAGUAACUUUCCAUAUUUGUUGUGGGCUCCAGACUUUUCACAUUUAUCUGACAAUAGUAUCGUAUUAGAAAUGUAUUUAGUUUGAUCUUUAUUAAUAUUCCACAAAAAACUUUGCAAUUUGCAAAUCUUAUUAUGUAUUUAAUUUUUUUUAU